This is a long non-coding RNA of Dermacentor albipictus, 411 nucleotides long. RefSeq lists it as uncharacterized. Lineage: Eukaryota; Metazoa; Arthropoda; Arachnida; Ixodida; Ixodidae. The record is from RefSeq and is a predicted model, not a curated record.
UGUGCAGCUCGUAGAGAAUGUCCUUCGUGAAGGUGCCGUGAAAUGGCGCCACCGCUUCCUCGCCGGAGGACAUGUUGUCGCCGCCGCGCCUCCUCCGCCACCGCUGCGCCGGGGAAGGAAGCCGCCGGCCCGAUGCGCGUAUAAUUGGCAAGUAUUCUUUACGCAAGAGCAAGCACAAGACAAACACGGCCGCAUCCAUCCAAAUGAAACCUGUAACACGCAAAAACUGUUUCAUUAUUUUUUUUCCUAAGAGGUGGCGGCAAGCUGAAGCAUUGCCAUGAGUUCGUACAGAAGUUCUCGCUCCUGCCGCAUUAUUUCAAUGUUAUUCUUGAUUCAUUAUUCAAUGAGAAACACAUGAAAACAAUGAUGGUAAUAUUUGUUCUUGUUCUAAUAAAAAAAAAAACUCAUCUU